Molecule: non-coding RNA, 2519 nt
Organism: Equus caballus (horse)
Lineage: Eukaryota; Metazoa; Chordata; Mammalia; Perissodactyla; Equidae
Source: RefSeq, a predicted model, not a curated record
CUUCUGCCUAAAACGGUGACGAAGGACAUAACGAAAAACCCCUCCCAAUUUCCUCCUACUCAAUCAGGAAAAUAUAUUAAGUGAGGAAAAUCUUCUAUGGACACACAGUAAAAUAACAGAUAUAGUCAGAUUCUGUUAAGAAACAAAAUAAUCCUGCCUAUCUUGCUGUGAAGUAGGGUUGAAAAAUAAGAACCUUGUUCUUGUUCAUUACUUGUUGCCAUGUGACCAUGACUCAGUCACUGAAGGCACUGACGUUCCACCCAUUGUGAGCUCCCCAGGCCAUUCAUUAUCAGGCAGGAAAGCCAAAGAAUGACAUUUUUAGGUAUCCAAGGACUCAGAAACUAGAUCGUCUUCCCAAAUAAAUGUCCUAAAGGCCAGCUUCAGAACCCCAACAUAGUAAUCAAAAUCUAGAUUCAAGAAAACAAAAAUAGUGGCUGAAGGGAUUGGGGCAACCUAUAAGAUUGCCUGGAAGAGAAUAUCUGACUUAAAUUGGGUCAAUCCUGGAACCUCAUCAUCUCACCCACUCCCUACCAGCCCCAUCAACUGAUCCAGCUCAAAGGCACAUAGUCAUCCAGCACAAACUAAAAAAUGCACCUCUUGGACUUUUAUAUAACAAUAUCAAAAUGCCAAGAAGAGGACCUAAGUAAUAUGAGUAUAGAAGAGAAUGACAAGUUGAGACAUUACUUCAAAUACUUAUGAAACUUAUUUUUGUUGACAACAUGGAUAAACAUUAAAAAAAAUUAAAAUAAAAUUAAUAUCGUAUCACUACUUGUAAUGCAGCUUUAAAAAAUUACUUUUUAAUUUACAAGCAUAUAUUUGAAUUCCUUAACUUUUUGGGACUCAUCAACCUUAGGCCUGCACAGGAAGAGUCCCUUAUCCACAGGAGAGUAUGUGAGGAGAGCUUCUGAAACUCGGCUUAGCAGCUUCUAAGACAUCACCACCUUGGUUUCCUCUCUCUCACCACCAGCUUGUUUUCAGUUUUCUUUGAGGUUCCUUCUUAACUUCUCUUCCCCUAAAUGUUGGAGAACUUCAGGGCUCAGUUCUCACAUGUUGUCUCUUUUCUAUCCUGCUAAUUUCCAUGUCAUUAAAUUUCAGCUAUCUGCUGCUGACACUCACAUUUAUGACUUCAUCCUAGAACUUCCCCCUUGAACUAAAGAUGCGUGCAUACCUCUGCUUACCAGAAUCUUUUACUUGAAAGUCCCAAACACAACAUCCAAAAGAAUCUCUUGACUCUCCCCAAGACUUACUGUAUCCCCAGGCUGCUACAUCUCCGUAAACAGCAACUCCUUCCUCUGGAUACCCAGCCCCAAAACCUUGGAGUCAUUCUUGACCCCUUUCUCUCACAUCCAACAUCCAAUUGGUAAGCAAAUCCUGCUUAGCAUUCCCUUUAAAAUAUAUUCAGAAUCCAAAUGCUUCUCACUUCUUCCCACUACCACUCUGUUCCAAACCACAAUCUUUUUUACCUGGAUUUUUGCUGGAGCCUCCUAACCUGUCUCUUUCCUUUCUCCCUUCCCCUUCUUAAGCCUAUUAACAUGACAGGUCCUAAAAGUAAGUUAGAUCAUGUCGCUCUGUUCCUCAGAAUCCUACAAUGGCUUCUCAUCUCACUCUGAGUGAAAUUCAAAGUCCUUACCAUGGCCCCCAAUGCCCCCAGGAUCUGCGCUCCUGCUCCACCACUCAUCUGAUGUCAUCCCCCAUGGCUCAUCCCCCUCCCUACACCAGCUAUACCCGCCUCCUUCCUGUUGCAAGAAUGAUCCCACCUUACACAUUCCCGCUCUGGGGUUUGGCCCUUGCCAUUCCCUUCAGAUGGCUGCUCAGAUGUCACUAUCAGAAAGAUCUUCCUAACCACCCGCACAAAACAGCAUUGUCUACCUGUCACCUUUACCCUCUCUCCCAUUUUACCUUGCUUAUUUUUCUUCUUAGCACCUACCACCAACUGAUGUAUGACAUGUUAUUUGCCUAAUGUCUAUCUUCUUAAGCUGAAAGCUAGGGUCUAUGAUCUCUAUUUUGUUCACUGUAGUAUCCCCAUCACCUAGAACAAUGUUUGGCCCACAAUAAGCACUCAAUAAAUAUUUGUUGAACAACUGAAUGAUUAAACCCUGUAGUCUUAAUCAGAGACGUGACAAAAUAUACACCAGCAGCUAAAAAGUAAACAUGCUAUUCAUUGAUUUGAUACAGUUAAAAUGAUUGAACUAGAGUUACUUAUGUCUGAAUCUCACAAACAAAAUGUUGAGUAAAAAUGUAAGUUGCAGAAGAAUAUGUAUAUAUACACAUACAUAUAUAAUGAUAUAUUUAAAAUUUUAAAAUAACUUAAACACGUUUUAUAUUUAUUGUCUGAUAUAUACAUAUAUAUAGAGAGAGAGGAAUGAGAUGAUGCAUGAGAAUAGUAAAUACCAAAUUCAGACAACAAAAUGGUGGAUAUCUGAGGGGGCAGUAUAGGCACAGAUGAACAUGCUAUUACACAACUAAAUAAAAUUCCAAAUACACAACACUGUUUUCCUUUAAAAAUCUAUAUCACCAGG